AUUGAACGCUGGCGGCAUGCCUUACACAUGCAAGUCGAACGGCAGCACGGGUGCUUGCACCUGGUGGCGAGUGGCGAACGGGUGAGUAAUACAUCGGAACAUGUCCUGUAGUGGGGGAUAGCCCGGCGAAAGCCGGAUUAAUACCGCAUACGAUCUACGGAUGAAAGCGGGGGACCUUCGGGCCUCGCGCUAUAGGGUUGGCCGAUGGCUGAUUAGCUAGUUGGUGGGGUAAAGGCCUACCAAGGCGACGAUCAGUAGCUGGUCUGAGAGGACGACCAGCCACACUGGGACUGAGACACGGCCCAGACUCCUACGGGAGGCAGCAGUGGGGAAUUUUAGACAAUGGGCGAAAGCCUGAUCCAGCAAUGCCGCGUGUGUGAAGAAGGCCUUCGGGUUGUAAAGCACUUUUGUCCGGAAAGAAAUCCUUGGCUCUAAUACAGUCGGGGGAUGACGGUACCGGAAGAAUAAGCACCGGCUAACUACGUG
RNAcentral lists this ribosomal RNA (486 nucleotides) under uncultured bacterium. Its description in RNAcentral is "partial 16S ribosomal RNA". It matches the Rfam family "Bacterial small subunit ribosomal RNA", at positions 30 to 507 of the family's 1533-position model. The record is from RNAcentral.